AAUUAUACAGCGAAACUGCGAAUGGCUCAUUAUAUAAGUUAUCGUUUAUUUGAUAGUACCUUACUACUUGGAUAACCGUGGUAAUUCUAGAGCUAAUACAUGCUAAAAAUCCCGACUUCGGAAGGGAUGUAUUUAUUAGAUUAAAAACCAAUGCCCUCUGGGCUCUCUGGUGAUUCAUGAUAACUUCUCGAAUCGCAUGGCCUUGCGCCGGCGAUGGUUCAUUCAAAUUUCUUCCCUAUCAACUUUCGAUGUUUGGGUAGUGGCCAAACAUGGUUGCAACGGGUAACGGAGGGUUAGGGCUCGACCCCGGAGAAGGAGCCUGAGAAACGGCUACUACAUCCAAGGAAGGCAGCAGGCGCGCAAAUUACCCAAUCCCGACACGGGGAGGUAGUGACAAUAAAUACUGAUACAGGGCUCUUUUGGGUCUUGUAAUUGGAAUGAGUACAAUUUAAAUCCCUUAACGAGGAACAAUUGGAGGGCAAGUCUGGUGCCAGCAGCCGCGGUAAUUCCAGCUCCAAUAGCGUAUAUUAAAGUUGUUGUGGUUAAAAAGCUCGUAGUUGAACCUUGGGCCUGGCUGGCCGGUCCGCCUCACCGCGUGUACUGGUCCGGCCGGGCCUUUCCCUCUGUGGAACCCCAUGCCCUUCACUGGGUGUGGCGGGGAAACAGGACUUUUACUUUGAAAAAAUUAGAGUGCUCCAGGCAGGCCUAUGCUCGAAUACAUUAGCAUGGAAUAAUGAAAUAGGACGUGCGGUUCUAUUUUGUUGGUUUCUAGGACCGCCGUAAUGAUUAAUAGGGACAGUCGGGGGCAUCAGUAUUCAAUUGUCAGAGGUGAAAUUCUUGGAUUUAUUGAAGACUAACUACUGCGAAAGCAUUUGCCAAGGAUGUUUUCAUUAAUCAGGAACGAAAGUUAGGGGAUCGAAGACGAUCAGAUACCGUCGUAGUCUUAACCAUAAACUAUGCCGACUAGGGAUCGGACGAUGUUAUUUUUUGACUCGUUCGGCACCUUACGAGAAAUCAAAGUGC
This 1023-nucleotide ribosomal RNA is filed under the name Tolypocladium tropicale. RNAcentral's name for it is "SSU rRNA". It matches the Rfam family "Eukaryotic small subunit ribosomal RNA", at positions 72 to 1106 of the family's 1831-position model. Lineage: Eukaryota; Fungi; Ascomycota; Sordariomycetes; Hypocreales; Ophiocordycipitaceae. The record is from RNAcentral.